This 253-nucleotide ribosomal RNA is filed under the name uncultured bacterium. RNAcentral describes it as "partial 16S ribosomal RNA". It matches the Rfam family "Bacterial small subunit ribosomal RNA", at positions 524 to 776 of the family's 1533-position model. The record is from RNAcentral.
GACAGAGGGUGCAAACGUUGCUCGGAAUUACUGGGCGUAAAGCGCGUGUAGGCGGCCCUGCAAGUCGGACGUGAAAGCCCUGGGCUCAACCCAGGAACUGCAUCCGAAACUGCGGGCCUGGAGUGGUGGAGAGGGAAGCAGAAUUCCUGGUGUAGAGGUGAAAUUCGUAGAUAUCAGGAGGAACACCGGUGGCGAAGGCGGCUUCCUGGACACUUACUGACGCUGAGACGCGAAAGCGUGGGGAGCAAACAGG